This 424-nucleotide ribosomal RNA is filed under the name uncultured bacterium. RNAcentral describes it as "bacterial SSU rRNA". It matches the Rfam family "Bacterial small subunit ribosomal RNA", at positions 355 to 776 of the family's 1533-position model. The record is from RNAcentral.
UGAGGAAUAUUGGACAAUGGGCGAAAGCCUGAUCCAGCCAUGCCGCGUGCAGGAAGAAUGCCCUACGGGUUGUAAACUGCUUUUAUAUAGGAAUAAACCCCUCUACGUGUAGAGGGCUGAAGGUACUAUACGAAUAAGGAUCGGCUAACUCCGUGCCAGCAGCCGCGGUAAUACGGAGGAUCCAAGCGUUAUCCGGAUUUAUUGGGUUUAAAGGGUGCGUAGGCGGGGCAAUAAGUCAGUGGUGAAAUCUUCCAGCUUAACUGGGAAACUGCCAUUGAUACUGUUGUUCUUGAGUUUGGUUGAAGUAGGCGGAAUGAGGCAUGUAGCGGUGAAAUGCAUAGAUAUGCCUCAGAACACCGAUUGCGAAGGCAGCUUACUAAGCCAAUACUGACGCUGAGGCACGAAAGCGUGGGUAGCGAACAGG